UCCCGCUUCUUUACCUCCCAGGGCUACGCCCAGAGUCCAUUCCAGGCUGCGCCGGCGCCCCCACCCACCGCCAAGGCCCCGGUGGCCGAGCCCCUCCAGGGGGACUUGCUCCACGUGCUCGCCGCUGCCCAGGAGUCCCCCGCUGCCGCCGCCGUCGCUGCCGCUCCCCCGGCUCCGGCCGCCGCCUCCACGGUGGACACAGCGGCCCUGAAGCAGCCCCCGGUGCCCCCUUCGUCACCCCCACCCCCGCCUCCGCCGCCACCAUCGCCGCGGCGGCGGCCACCGCCGUCGUAGCCCCAACCUCGACGGUCGCCGUGGCCCCAGUAGCGUCUGUCUUGAAGAAGAAGACAAAGAGCAAGGGGCCCUACAUCUGCGCUCUGUGCGCCAAGGCGUUCAAGAACGGCUGCAACCUCCGGAGGCACGAAGCCAUCCACGCGGGAGCCAAGGCCGGCCGGGUCCCCUCGGAUGCUAUGAAGAUGCCCACCAUGGUGGCCCUGAGCCUCCUGAGCGUGCCCCAGCUGAGCGGAGCCGGCGGGGGAGUGGGAGAAGCGGGUGUCGGCUGCGGCGCGGCCGCAGUGGCUGCCGGCGGCGUGGUGACCACGACCGCCUCGGGGAAGCGCGUCCGAAGAACCACGGCUGAGAGAUGUGCCGCAAGGCCUCCCGCGACGGCCACCACCUGAGCCGACACAAGCUGUCUCACUCGGACGAGAAGCCCUCCCAGUGCCCGGUGUGCCAGCAGCGCAAGGACCGCAUGAGCUACCACGUGCGCUCACUUGACGGCGCUGUACACAAGCCCUGCAGCUGCUCCCACUGUGGCCAGAGCUUCUCCCGGCCGGAUCACCCCAACAGUCACGUCCGACCAGUGCACUCAACAGAACGGCCCUUCAAAUGUGAAAAUGUGAGGCAGCUUUCGCCACGAAGGAUCGGCUGCGGGCGCACAUGGUACGACACGAGGAGAAGGAGCCAUGUCACAUGUGUGGCAAGACGCUGAGCUUGGCUUAUAUUUCGGACCACAUGAAAGUGCACAGCCAGGGCCCUCACCGUGUCUGUGAGCUCUGCAACAAAGGUACUGGUGAGGUUUGUCCAAUGGCGGCGGCAGCAGCAGCUCCUCCCACAUCUGUGGGCUCCCUCUCGGGGUAGAGGGGGUGCCUGUGAGCUCUCAGCCACUUCCCUCCCAGCCGUGGUGAGCUCCGAGUUGGUUGGGGGGAGAGGAGAGAAUGGAGUAGCGUCAGUUGGUACAGGCUCCUCUCCCCCCACUUUUCCCACCAACUCCUCACUGCUUCCCCACCAACCAAGGAGCCUCCGGAGGGAAAGGAGGAAGAAAUGUUUUAGGGGAAUUCGCUAGGUUUUAACGAUUUGUUUCUCCCGCUCCUCUCUUCUAUCAGACCUGACCCCACACAAACCUGUCCCGUCGGUUGUGUCGAAGUCCCCUGGACAGUGGGCAGGGGUGGCAGAGGACAGGAGCAGCCACUGCCCAUACCCCCUCUCCUCUCUGUAAGCCCUUGCCCUGUCCUCCCAGGGACUUAUGAGCCUCUUCCCUCAAUAGUUCUCUCACUCUCCUUCCAAUCCUCUCCCCCUGCUGUCUGUUGCCCCUCCCUGGGGAGUUGGUGCUGUCUUUUCCUUUUUCUUUUUUUCCAGGGGGAGGGAGGAGAGGAAGUAGGGAGAUCAGAGCUUCUGUCCCAGAGAGGGAGAGCCGUGAGGUCUGAGGAGGGGCAGAAGCAGGGCCAGCAAAAGUUGUACCAUCAUAAGGUGGUGGGGGGUUUGGGGUCAGGCCCUGAACAUCGUCCUACUUGAGAAUCUGUCA
Sapajus apella (tufted capuchin) is the source of this 1804-nucleotide RNA transcript. It is a transcript of the gene named myc-associated zinc finger protein pseudogene, with no coding region annotated. The record is from RefSeq and is a predicted model, not a curated record. NCBI's taxonomy places the organism in Eukaryota, Metazoa, Chordata, Mammalia, Primates, Cebidae. The transcript has a single exon.